CGUCUAGCUUCCCCAUUUUCCAUUUUCUCAUUUGUUUUGUUUUGAUGAUAGCUUACUGGUAAAUUCUCUCUGAUUUCUUUCUCUCAUUUUUUUUUUUCCAAAUUUUCUUUUCUUUCUUGCUCGUUAUUUUCUUUACUGUCCCAACUUCGGUGGUUGGCGUUUGUCCUGGUGCUGAUGUGUUCAUGUGUGGUAAAAUCACCGGGAGAAGAUCGGGAGAUGCGUGAAUUGUCUCUAGCGAAUUAGAGAAUUUGUUGGGCUCCUAUUCUGUUGGGUGGGUGGCAAUUACCGCUGUGGUGAGGGCAUCAAAAAAUGAUCAGGUGUGUAAUGAAAAUCUCGAAAAACAACAAACGACAUGAAGCCAAAAACUUAUUGUUGACGCUACACAGCUGUGUGGGCCACAUGGGUUGAGUUAAGUGGGUCGUGUGGACCACACGGGUUGGGCCAGUUAGGUCGUGUGGGUUAUAUGGGCGUGUGAGCCCAUUUUCUAUAAAUUUAGUAAGUGUAGUAUUCGAAAUUUGAUUUAAGGUUAGCCACUUCGUAGGUUCCGUAAUGUGUUUUGUUGGUCAUUAAAUUGUGAAAUAUGAUAUUCUGCUUAUGUUAUUACAAAUUCUGAAA
This is a long non-coding RNA of Gossypium arboreum, 615 nucleotides long. RefSeq lists it as uncharacterized. The transcript has 2 exons. The record is from RefSeq and is a predicted model, not a curated record. NCBI's taxonomy places the organism in Eukaryota, Viridiplantae, Streptophyta, Magnoliopsida, Malvales, Malvaceae.